RNAcentral lists this ribosomal RNA (433 nucleotides) under uncultured bacterium. RNAcentral describes it as "partial 16S ribosomal RNA". It matches the Rfam family "Bacterial small subunit ribosomal RNA", at positions 29 to 507 of the family's 1533-position model. The record is from RNAcentral.
AACGAACGCUGGCGGCAUGCCUAACACAUGCGAGUCGAACGAGACCUUCGGGUCUAGUGGCGCACGGGUGCGUAACGCGUGGGAACCUGCCCUUAGGUUCGGAAUAACUCCCCGAAAGGGGUGCUAAUACCGGAUAAUGUCUUCGGACCAAAGAUUUAUCGCCUUUGGAUGGGCCCGCGUUGGAUUAGCUAGUUGGUAGGGUAAAAGCCUACCAAGGCGACGAUCCAUAGCUGGUCUGAGAGGAUGAUCAGCCACACUGGGACUGAGACACGGCCCAGACUCCUACGGGAGGCAGCAGUGGGGAAUAUAGGACAAUGGGCGAAAGCCUGAUCCAGCAAUGCCGCGUGAGUGAUGAAGGCCUUAGGGUUGUAAAGCUCUUUUACCCGGGAUGAUAAUGACAGUACCGGGAGAAUAAGCUCCGGCUAACUCCGUG